UACGUAGGGUGCAAGCGUUAAUCGGAAUUACUGGGCGUAAAGCGUGCGCAGGCGGUUAUAUAAGACAGAUGUGAAAUCCCCGGGCUCAACCUGGGAACUGCAUUUGUGACUGUAUAGCUAGAGUACGGCAGAGGGGGAUGGAAUUCCGCGUGUAGAAGUGAAAUGCGUAGAUAUGCGGAGGAACACCAAUGGCGAAGGCAA
This 201-nucleotide ribosomal RNA is filed under the name uncultured bacterium. RNAcentral describes it as "partial 16S ribosomal RNA". It matches the Rfam family "Bacterial small subunit ribosomal RNA", at positions 524 to 724 of the family's 1533-position model. The record is from RNAcentral.